GAGUCCGUCCCAGUCAGGACACAGCAUGGCCAUGAGGGUCCCCGCUCAGCUCCUGGGGCUGCUGCUGCUCUGCUUCUCAGGUGUGCAAGGUGACAUCCAGAUCACCCAGUCUCCGUCGUCCCUGUCCAAAUCUCCAGGAGACGCAGUCACCAUCACUUGCCAGGCCAGUAAGAACAUCUAUAGUGAUUUGGCCUGGUAUCAGCAGAAACCAGGGAGAGCUCCCAGGCUUCUGAUCUAUUAUGCAACCAGUUUACAAACUGGGGUCCCAGCCAGGUUCAGUGGCGGUGGGUCUGGGACAGACUACACUCUCACCAUCGGCAGCCUGGAGCCUGAAGAUGCUGCCACUUAUUACUGUCAGCAGCAUCUCAGUUGGCUUUGUGGAAGAGCCAGAAUUUGUGCAGAGCCAUAUCUGGUGAACAAGUACACCACCAUUGACCCCAGCAAAACUUCCUGA
This is a non-coding RNA of Octodon degus (degu), 454 nucleotides long. The record is from the annotation of a RefSeq genome assembly. Lineage: Eukaryota; Metazoa; Chordata; Mammalia; Rodentia; Octodontidae.